Molecule: ribosomal RNA, 427 nt
Filed under: uncultured bacterium
Lineage: Bacteria
Description: partial 16S ribosomal RNA
Rfam family: Bacterial small subunit ribosomal RNA
Source: RNAcentral
UGGGGAAUAUUGGACAAUGGGCGAAAGCCUGAUCCAGCCAUGCCGCGUGUGUGAAGAAGGGCUUCGGAUUGUAAAGCACUUUAAGUUGGGAGGAAGGGCAUUAACCUAAUACGUUAGUGUUUUGACGUUACCGACAGAAUAAGCACCGGCUAACUCUGUGCCAGCAGCCGCGGUAAUACAGAGGGUGCAAGCGUUAAUCGGAAUUACUGGGCGUAAAGCGCGCGUAGGUGGUUUGUUAAGUUGGAUGUGAAAUCCCCGGGCUCAACCUGGGAACUGCAUUCAAAACUGACUGACUAGAGUAUGGUAGAGGGUGGUGGAAUUUCCUGUGUAGCGGUGAAAUGCGUAGAUAUAGGAAGGAACACCAGUGGCGAAGGCGACCACCUGGACUAAUACUGACACUGAGGUGCGAAAGCGUGGGGAGCAAACA